Molecule: ribosomal RNA, 442 nt
Filed under: uncultured bacterium
Lineage: Bacteria
Description: SSU rRNA
Rfam family: Bacterial small subunit ribosomal RNA
Source: RNAcentral
AGAGCGAACGCUGGCGGCAGGCCUAACACAUGCAAGUCGAGCGCCGUAGCAAUACGGAGCGGCAGACGGGAGAGUAACACGUGGGAACGUACCCUUUGGUUCGGAACAACCCAGGGAAACUUGGGCUAAUACCGAAUAAGCCCUUACGGGGAAAGAUUUAUCGCCGAAGGAUCGGCCCGCGUCUGAUUAGCUAGUUGGUGGGGUAACGGCCCACCAAGGCGACGAUCAGUAGCUGGUCUGAGAGGAUGAUCAGCCUCAUUGGGACUGAGACACGGCCCAAACUCCUACGGGAGGCAGCAGUGGGGAAUAUUGGACAAUGGCGCAAGCCUGAUCCAGCCAUGCCGCGUGGGUGAUGAAGGCCCUAGGGUUGUAAAGCCCUUUGGCGGGGAAGAUAAUGACGGUACCGCAGAAGAAGCCCGGCUAACUUCGCGCCAGCAGCCGC